UAAAUACAGUGCGUUGGAAAUCGUUGGAAUCAAAUCAAAUAAAUUGGAUCCAUUUUUCUCUAAUCUUUUUAAAAAAGAAAAAGAAAAAAAAAAUCAUAAAAUCAAAUCCGUGAGAAUUGAUUUGAGAGCGAUUGUAAUUCUCAGAGAACAAAGGAGAAGGAGUACUGGUCCGAUCCAAGUUGUAUCAAGCCCUAGUCCAUCCCGGUCUGGUUCAAUCCAACAGAACCGCUCCACCUACUCCAACCGGACCAACCUAUCUGGCCCAGUCCAACCAGAUACAGUCCGACCCAUGUAAUCCGGUCCAUCCAGGUCCGUUCCUGUUCCAGUACUGGACCGUGCGCGACUAAGAGUGUUUCGGUUUUGUUUAUAUAUGGCGGGAACCAAAAUGAAAUGUGAGGUAUGUAACUAUAACGCGAGUUUUUAUAUGCUAGUCUUAUUUACUCGCUAGGCUUAUUUAUUUGUUUUUUAAAAUAUGUCUGGUUUUGUUUAUUUUUGUCUUAAAUAAGUUAACAACAUAUAAAAGGUCAAUUUAAAUUAUUUUUAUUGA
Papaver somniferum (opium poppy) is the source of this 547-nucleotide long non-coding RNA. RefSeq lists it as uncharacterized. Lineage: Eukaryota; Viridiplantae; Streptophyta; Magnoliopsida; Ranunculales; Papaveraceae. The record is from RefSeq and is a predicted model, not a curated record. The transcript has 2 exons.